RNAcentral lists this ribosomal RNA (253 nucleotides) under uncultured bacterium. RNAcentral's name for it is "partial 16S ribosomal RNA". It matches the Rfam family "Bacterial small subunit ribosomal RNA", at positions 524 to 776 of the family's 1533-position model. The record is from RNAcentral.
UACGUAGGGUGCGAGCGUUAAUCGGAAUUACUGGGCGUAAAGCGCGCGCAGGCGGCUAUCCAAGUCAGUGGUGAAAGCCCGGAGCUUAACUCCGGAACUGCCAUUGAAACUGUUUAGCUUGAGGACGAGAGAGGUGAGUGGAAUUCCCAGUGUAGAGGUGAAAUUCGUAGAUAUUGGGAAGAACACCGGUGGCGAAGGCGGCUCACUGGCUCGUUUCUGACGCUCAGGCGCGACAGCGUGGGGAUCAAACAGG